RNAcentral lists this long non-coding RNA (7698 nucleotides) under Homo sapiens (human). RNAcentral describes it as "HSALNT0341877". Lineage: Eukaryota; Metazoa; Chordata; Mammalia; Primates; Hominidae. The record is from RNAcentral.
CUUUGCCCCACCACCCUCUCACUUAUAACCCAAAACACACACACACGCACACACACACACACACACACACACACACACACCCUUUCCCUCUUGCCCUACUUGCAUCCACCAUCACCUACAAUCUGGUAUCCACCCACAUUCACGUGUACAACCUGCCCUCAGUACUCAUUCUUCUUAUACUUCUGCAUUCCCACACUGAGCCUUACCCUCACACGCCCAUACCAACCUUUAUCUAUAGUCCCACACACAUGCACGCACACAGAGACACCUCUGCCCUACCCACCCUCACCUACCCCCUUCUACAAUCCUGCAUAUACAUGCACACCUUCACCCAUACAUACCCACCCUCGCCUACAAACCUAUAUCCACGCAUAUUCAUACCUGACCACAACUACCUAACCAGCGGUUUGAUGCCACACUUUAGAAAGGUUCAUACACCCUACUUUUAAAAACCAUCAUGAUUUAGGCUGGAAUUAGUAAACUGCUAUUUGAUUUUACAGAUAAAGUUUCAAAAGGUUAAAUAAUUGAACAAGGUCACACUGCUAGCAGUUUCUAAGAGUCCUAAAAAGAACACAGGUGUCUGAAGCUCUGUCCAAUGUUCUGUCAUUCACAUCACAGCUGUCUACAUACGUCUCUUUGAAACAACCUGAACUCUUCUCUCAAUAUAAAAUUGAGGUGAAAUACCAAAUUAAGGCACAUGGGUCCGUUAUUGCCAAAGUGAUGGAUUUCCUGACAACCAUUCCACCCAGAAGAUUUUUUUUCCCAGAACUAAUAAUCCCAUCCCCGUUGCUGGUGAUUAACUUAAUAACGAGCAUGACAAUCAACAAACAGAUUGAAAAGGCAACCUACUCAGAAUGGGAGAAAAUAUGAAACCAUAUACCAGAGAUGAAAGUAAUAUCCAGAAUAUAUAAAGAAUUCCUACAACUUGAUAACAAAAACACCCCAAUCUAAAAAUGGACACAGAAUUUAAAUAGACAUUUCUCCAAUGAAGAUGGCCACCACACAUGUGAAAAGAUGCUCAACAUCACUAAUCAUCAAGGGAAAUGCAAAUCAAAACCACAAUAGCACAAUGAGAUAUCAUUUCAGACCCCGUAUGAUGUUAGGAUGGCUACUUUCAAAAAAACAGAAAAUAAGUGUUGGUAAGGAAACACCUGCACACUGUUGAUGGGAUUAUAAAAUGGGCAGCCACUAUGGAAAAUAGUAUGGAGGUUCCUAAAAAAACUGCAAUUAGAAUUCCCAUAUGAUCCAGUCAUCUCCUACUGCAUAUAUAUCCAAAAGAAUUGAAAGCAGGAUCUUGAAAAGAUAUCUGCUCUCCUAUGUUCAUGCAGCAUUAUUCACAACAGCCAAGAUGUAGAGGUGAUUCAAAUGUCCAUCAGUGAAUGAAUAGAUAAAGAAAUGUGGUAUAUACAUACAAUGGAAUCUUAGCCUAAAAAAGAAAGAAUUCCUGUCAUAUGCUACAGCAUGGAUGAACCUUGAGGACCUUAUGGUAAGUGAAAUGAGCCAAUCAGAAAAAGAUGGGUGCUAGAUGAUCCUACUUAUGUGAGGUAUCUGAAGUAAUAAAACUCAUGGAAAUGAAAGUAGAAUAAUGGUUACCAGGGGCUGGGGGAGGGGAAAACACCAUGUUGUUCAAUGGGUAUAGAGUUUCAGUCAUGCGUGCGGAAAACGUUCUAGAGAUCCGUUGUACAACAAUGUGCAUAUCACAACAUUACUGAACUGUACACUAAAAAAUGUUAAGAGGGCCAGGCACAGUGGCUCACCCCUGUAAUCCAGCACUUUGGGGGGCCAAGGUGGGAGGAUCGCUUGAGCCCAGGAGUUGGAGACCAACCUGGGCAACACAGCAAGACUUCAUUUUUACUAAAAAUAAAUAAAUAUAUAAAUAAAAAAUAGCCAGGCAUGGUGGCAAACGCCUGUAGUCCCAGCUACUUGAGAGGCUGAGUUGGGAGGAUCCCUUGAGCCCAGUAGUUCCAGGUUACUGUAAGCUAUGAUCUCGCCACUGCGCUUCAGCCUGGGCAGCAGAGCAAGACUGUCUCAGAAAAAAAAAUUGUUAAGAAGAUAAAGUUAUGUUAUGUGUUUUUACCACAUUAAAUAACAAUAACAAAAAAGAAUGAGCAUCUGGCCUAAUUCUGACGAGUAAAAUUGGAAGGGAAGUCAGUUGGGGGCUAGGAAAUCUUUGCUUGCUCAUAAGAAAGUGAUUUUAGAAAUGAUUGCCUGGAACCGUUACAUGUAUUUUCUUACCAGUCCGAGGAUGAACACACAAGAGAUUCACAGGAACAAACCAGACCACUGACUUGCUGCACUGAAGUUGCAAUACUUCUGAGACGUAGAUCUCCUUAUUAAUCUAGCUCAGUGUUUUGUUACCUGCAGCACAGAAACACUUUCCCUGAAAAACAGAUACAACUUUUAAAGCAUAAUUUUUAUUCUUUAGGUAUUCUGGUAAGUGAUCUAAACUAUAUGUCUAUUUAAAAAAUAAACCUACAUUAGACCUAGGAUUAAUUUAUGAAUUGGGAUUACUUAUUUUAAAAAUAUAGGGAGAACAUUUAAAGUCAGGUUUAUUGAGGUAUAAUUUAUAUUCAGCAAUCCUCCUUUAAAUAUACAGUUUGAUUUUGGCAAAUGCAUAUUUCUUUAUGGAUUAGUCUUUAUGCUUAUUUACCAAGUAAAUAAUUAUGAAGAAACUAUCAUAACUGCAGUUUUAAUUUAAGGAAAGUUCUCUCCAAAUGGGGUAAACUCUUUUAAAAUAGGUGGCACCAGUUUAAUUUCUAAAGGAGCUGUGAAGACAUCUGUAGACAUAGAGAUAAGAGUUCUAUUUAGAUCAGUAUUUUUUUUUUUAGAGACGGAGUCUCGCUCUGUUGCCCAGGCUGGAGUGCAGUGGUACGAACUUGGCUCAUUGCUACCUCCACCUCCCGGGUUCAAGCGAUGCUCCUGCCUCAGCCUCCAGAGUUGCUGGGAUUACAGGCACCAGCCACCAUGCCUGGGUAAUUUUUGUAUUUUUAGUAGAGACAGGGUUUCACCAUGUUGGGCAGGCUGGUCUUGAACUCCUAAGGCUGGUCUUGAACUCCUAACCUCAAGUGAUCCACCCACCUCGGCCUCCCAAAGUGCUGGGAUUACAGGUGUGAGCCACCGUGCACAGCCUAGAUCAGUAUCUUGAGUGCCAGAAAGUGCUCUGUCCACAACCAUAUUUUUUUGUUUAUCAUUUUUAUUUGCAAUAACCCAGAACUGUCCUGGUUUUUGUGCUGAAAGUCUCCAGUCCCAGGAAACUCUGCAGUCCUGGGCAAACCAGGAUGGUUGGUCACCCUAGCAACAUUUCUCAACCUAGGAACUAUUGACAUUCUUUGUUGUGGGGACUGUUAUGUGCAUUGUAGGAAGAUUGCAUCAUUUGUGACCUCUACCCACUAGGUGGGUCCACUCCCAGUUGUCACUAUCAAAAGUGUCUCCAGAUAGUGUCAAAUGUCCCUGGGGGGGCAAAAUCACUCAAGGGGGCAAAAUCACCAAAAUCAGGCAUCUGCCCUAGAGGUAAGUGCCCUCACAACUCACACAUUUGAAAUUCAUAAUCUUAUUUUCUGUUGCUGUUGUAAAGCAAAAGCAAGUUGAUUCUCCUGUUUUUAUAGCAGAGGACUUAAAAUGCUGAGGAAUUGCUUCCAGACUGUCCCUUUUUGGAGAUCCCCCUUCUUCACCCCUCACCCCUGCCCCUUUUUCUUAACAUUGCAAAUGACCUGACCGAUGAUUCUAGGUGCAUCUUUCUUGUAGGUUCUGGGAAGCCGUCCUUGUGACCUGUGUCCAGUCUAACUCUCUAGACUUGAAAUUCUUUUUCUGUUUGCUACUUCCAAUUCUCCCAUACAUAUAUAGCCAUAUCAUACGAUGAUAUUCUUAAGACACAUUUAUAGGAUUGAAUGUGCAUGUGUUUUAAUGGGAUGGUAUUUUGUGCACUUUUCUGUUUUUGCCUUUCUCAGCCAACAAUACUACCUGGAAAUAUCUUCAACAAAAUAAUACAGCUAUAAUUUGUUCUUGUUAAUAACGGUGUAAUAUUGCCUGUUAUAUAUAGUGAAUAUACUGUAUUUUAUAUGCCAUUUCCCUAUUAUCUUUCUUUGCCUCAACAUGCUCUAUUGGAAUAAACAUCUCUGCACAUAUAUCCUUACCUUCUAGAGUUCUUUUUCCUGUGGGAGAUGUUCCAAGAAACAGGAUUACUGGGUCAAAGAAUAUUUCUAAUUCUAACAGAUUUGCCACACAGUUUUCUGGAAAAACUAUAGUGGUUUCCAUUUCUAUUUAUAUUAUUGUUAAAACGACAAUGACACAAAACCCCUUUCUAUGUAUCCCCGAUAGAAAUAAGUGUUAUUGCUCCAUUUAAUGUUUGCCAGUCUGAUGAGAGUAAAUUCAUGUCUCAUUGGUGGUUUAAUUUGUAUUUUCCCAACUAGUGGAGCCUGUACAUUGUUUAAUGAUUGUAGACUAUUUCCAUUUUCUUCUCUGUGAAAUUUUCUGCUUCUGCUCUUUAACAUUUUUCUAUGAGAAAUUUGUUCUUACAAUUUGUAAAAGCUUAUCUGUAUUUAUCCUACAUGCAUAUUGCCACCACUCUGUCACUUUUUUCAGAUUUAAUUUUUCCUUCUCUUGUUUUGAUAACAUUUGUAUUUUCUGGCAUUUUUUGGUCCAUUCUUUCAUUUCUUGGCCUUCCUUUGCUCUUUUUCCUGUUCUUCUUGUAGACAGUAUGUACCUGGGUUUUGUUUCAGCUGAAUCUGAAGGUGAGUCUUUCAUGAACGUACUCGUAGGAGUAUUAUAUACUGACCAUAUUCUUGAUAUUCCUUCCACAGUACUAUAUUAUUCAUUUUUACUUGGUUGUUCACAAUUUCUUUCUUGCUAAUUAAUUUGUAAGUCCCACAAUAUUUUUCAAUUUUUAGCACUUAGACCUCUGUUUCUCAAAAAUAUGGUGCCCAAUCUUUCUCCCUUCUGAAUGCUUAAUUUCCUCACUCUUUAUUCCCAAUAAGAUAAGAUCUUUAAAAUAUUUCUUCAUCCCUGCUCCUCUCCUCUCCUAGCCUCCUCUCAUUGCCUUUGAAAUGUUUUUACUUUGUUCUUAUCCUCAACCCCCUGCUCCUAGGAAUUGCUAAGCACCUUUAGUUCUUUUUGUUUAGGACUGUUAUUAGAGUAUCUCUGGCAUUAUGUCUCUUCUAUUGCGAUGUUCCUUAUUUUUACUUAUUCUCCAUAGCCCCAGACAGUUUGUCAUUAUCAAUUUAAAUGUAAAUACAUUUACUUUUCAAAGUUAAUUGCUCAUUACUCUUCUCCUCUUUUCUUCAUAGACCCUUAUUUUGAGUACUCUGUUCACAUUCAUUUAUUGUUGGAUAUCUUUUCUUGAGUUUUUCCUUAAAUCAGAUAUAUUUUCUGAAUUCAUGCAUAUGCACAAAUCUAUGGUUGUUAUAGGAGAGUUGGGCUACAGGUCUUUUCUCUUGCUCAUCUGUGGAUGCCACUCUAUCUUCUACUAUUGCAGAUGAGACACUUGUUGCCAAUCUCACUAAUAGGCAAAUUGUGUCUUUUGUCUGAAUGCUCAUAAGGUUUUCUCUUUAUCCUUGGAGUUCAGGAAUUUCUAGAAUGUUACUUUGGGGUUUAUCGUGUAUGGAUAUAUGUGUUUGUCUUCUAAUUCUCUAAUAUUUUUUCCUCAUGAAUUGCAUCUUUUUUUCUCUGUGCUUUGAAAGGUUUCUUCCACUUGAUUUUCCAGGCCACUAUUUGUCAUUUCCUAGUGCUCCCUACCCUUCCUGCAGAGCUUUCAAUUCAAUGCUUAUGGGCACUUAUUUCCCAAAAUAAAAGAAAUUUCAUAUUGAAAAUAAACAGAUUAUCAAGAAGUCAUAAUAGUCAUUAGCUUUUAUGCCAAAAUAGCACAGUCUCAAACUUUAUGAAAAGUGAUAGAAAUAUGAGGAAAAAUGGAUUAAUCUACAAUCUUUCUGGAGGACUUUUACACAUCUCUUUUAGAUACCAAAAGAUCAAUUAGGCAGAAAACAAGAAUACAGAAGACUAAUAUAGCACAAUUAGCAAGUAGGAUCUAACAUACGCAUACAACUGUGCACCCAACCAAAAAGGAAAUGCACGUUCUUUCAUAUAGAAUAUCUCUGAAAAUUUACCAUGUAAUAGACCACAAAGGAAGUUGCUCACAAAUCCUGGAAAACAAAUACAUACGUACAUGACACACCUUGUUCACUGAACACUGAACAUACCUGUUGAAUUCCACAAUAGAACUGAAAAAGAUUCAACAAAAAAAAAUUUUAAAGUGUUCUACAGAUAGCUGAAAAUGUUAAAAUAUGGGUUUAAAUAACUUUUUCGUUAAACAAGGCCUAUAAAACUAAACUAUAAAAAUUUGGAAAUAGACCAGGUGUGGUGGCUCACGCCUUUAAUCCCAGCAGUUUGGGAGGCCAAUGUAGGCAGAUUACCUGAAGUUAGGAGUUCGAGACCAGCCUGGCCAACAUGGUGAAACCCCGUCUCUACUAAAUAUACAAAAAUUAACCAGGCAUGAUGGUGGGCACCUGUAAUCCCAGCUACUUGGAAGGCUGAGGCAGAGAGAAUUGCUUGAAUCCGAGAGGCAGAGGUUGCAGUGAGCCGAGAUAGUGCCACUGUACUCUAGCCUUGGCGACAGCAAGACUCUGUCUUGAAAAAAAAUUGGAAAUAAGAUAAUGAAAGUAGUACAUUAUUAAUCAUCCAAAGUAGUGUUCAGUGGAAAAUUUACAUUUUUCUUUUUUCUUUUUUUUUUUUUUUUUGAGACGGAGUUUCGCUUUUGUCGCCCAAGCUGGACUGUAAAGAUGCAAUCUUGGCUCAGUGCAAACUCCGCCUCCCAGGUUCAAGCGAUUCUCCUGCCUCAGCCUCCUGGGUAGCUGGGAUUAUAGGCACGUGCCACCACGCUCAGUUAAUUUUUGUAUUUUUAGUAGAGACAGGGUUUCACCAUAUUGGCCAGGCUGGUCAAGAGCUCCUGACCUCCGGUGACCCACCCGCCUCAGCCUCCCAAAGUGCUGGGAUUAGCCAUGAGCCACCAUGCCCAGCCUAUAUUUUUCUUAAAUGUUUGCUCUAGCAAAGAAAGAUUGAGUAUAAAUGAGCAAAGAAGCUGGGGAAAUAAACAACAUAAUAAACCCAAAUAAAGUAGAAUGAAGGGAUUUGAGAAAUAAAUAUUGAAGAAAAAUAAAACAAAAAAAUCAAUUUGAGCUUAUUAACAAAAUUCAAAGCUAGUUCUUUUAAGAUGUCUAAUACUAUAGAAACAUCUUUGGCCUGAUAUAUGAAGGAGAAGAGAGCAAAAGGAAAAGGACACAGUAAAUUUAAAAGUAUGUUUUAAUACAAUACAAUCUAUGGCAGAAUGCGUAAUUGUUCACAAUACUUUGCAUCUCCCUGUAUUCAUGUCCUUUGUUAUGUAAAUUCGCAAUUCCUCCUGGUAAUGGUAAAAUAUAUCCACCUCCAUUCAUAAUAUUGUGCUGGACUGUGUGAUUUACUUUGGCAGAAGUGCCAGUGCCAGUUCUGAAUCUAGGCCUUAAGGGUAUCACAUAUGUCCACUUAUCCCUCUUGUACUUCUUCCAUCCCCAGGAGAAGAAUGUGUCUCUGGUAGCCAAUUGAUCCAAAAAGGAUCUGACAUUUUCAGAUGUGGAACCAAGGCCAGCCAAGCCCAGCCAAGCCCAGCAUAGAUCCGAUCCGCCAAAGCCCAACUGUCUUACAGAUGUAUAAACUGGAAUAAAUGUUGCUUUA